RNAcentral lists this ribosomal RNA (253 nucleotides) under uncultured bacterium. RNAcentral's name for it is "partial 16S ribosomal RNA". It matches the Rfam family "Bacterial small subunit ribosomal RNA", at positions 524 to 776 of the family's 1533-position model. The record is from RNAcentral.
UACGUAGGGGGCAAGCGUUGUCCGGAUUUAUUGGGCGUAAAGAGCGUGUAGGCGGCCAGUCAGGUCCGUUGUGAAAACUCGAGGCUCAACCUCGAGACGCCGAUGGAAACCGACUGACUAGAGUCCGGAAGAGGAGAGUGGAAUUCCCGGUGUAGCGGUGAGAUGCGCAGAUAUCGGGAAGAACACCCGUGGCUAAGGCGGCUCUCUAGUACGGUACUGACGCUGAGACGCGAAAGCGUGGGGAGCGAACAGG